AAAGUCGGUUUGACCAGGAACAUAAGACCACCCGCAACGCGGGAUGUUAGCUAUUUCUUAGCGCUAAUCCUUAAGCAAAUCAGGAUAAAAUACUAUUAUUAAAUUAGCUUUAGGUAAAAAAUAAUUUUUAGUUAAGGAUUUUUUGGCUUUGAUCCCAGAUGAGCUGGCAACAUCAUCUCCUUCCUCUGAUUCGUCUCUACGACCUCCCUCGGCGAGGAAAGCAAUCCCCGAAUUUCCCUUUUAUCAGCAGAACUGGUUCAUCGCUCUCCUCUUCCUGAUGGCUCUGGGAUUCUUCUGCCUCGCUCUCUUCCUUUAGCUGAGCCUUGAUCCCGAUUCCGGCUACACCUCCGCUUCCGCCGCACCUUCCGGUAAAGAAGGCGUCGAGAUAACUUAUGGGAGUGCGAUUAAGCUUAUGAAAUGAUGCUGUACAGAAGGCGUCGAGGUAUUGAUAACUUCAGUAAGAUGAGAGCUUAUUUGAAGCUGGGUGAUUCCAAAGGAGAUGAGGUUCCUGAAGAUACCAUCAAAGCUGUUGCUGAUACUCUUCGUACCUCUUCUGCUCUCAAGGUUUCUGAAGAUGGGAAGAAGGUUGGUAGGAGUACAAAGUUGUUGAAGCUUGAAGAUUUGAUUGAACAGCUUAACGCUAGAACUGUAGCUGCUUCACCGUUCUCGUACGAUGUUAAAAGGGAAGACGUGGAAGCCUUUUUCAGUCAGUACGGGAAGGUUAAUAGUGUGAGGAUGCCUCGUCAUGUAGCAGAGACGAGAGUGUUUUGUGGUGUUGCCUUGGUUGAGUUCCCUACUGAAGAGGAUGCUCAGAAUGUUAUGAAGCAAAGUUUGGUUUUUGCUGGGCUUGAGUUGGAAAUGAAACCAAAGAAAGAGUUUGAUGAUGAUAGGGAGAAAGAUGAAGAAAAGUUUGAUAACUACCGUCCUCAAAAGGCUUCUGCAAAUCAGAAAAACGGUUCUGAACAUAGGAACGGUUCUGAAUCCGAGGCAAAGGUUUGAAUCUGACCACAGUCACUUGCAUGCAUCCACUAUUUCAGGCAACUUAGAGGUUAGCUGCUUUGGAGAUGAUUCAAAUUCCGACACUGGGGAUCACUGGAAGUUUACAAUCGAAGGUAGUGGAAAGACAUGGAAACAAGACCAAAGAGUAAGGCUUCAACACAUUGACACUAGUGGCUACCUCCAUAGCCAUAAUACAAGAGUCAGGCUUCAACACAUUUAAUAUUUUUUAAUUCUUAAGGAUUCCAUAUUGGGUAACACCAUUGCACAUACAUUUUAGAGUAAAGUUCUUAACUAUUCAAAAAGAAAAAAAAAUUAUAUUAUAUUGUUAAGGACUCCAAUGGUGGGUAACACCAUUGGAGUUGCUCUAAACUCACUCACAAACGUGUCAGAUGAACAAGAGCUCAACAACAACAAAUUACGUGUGAACUUGAGAACAUAGCUUAGUAUGAUAUUGACAAAACUUACAGUAGAGACAAUGGAAUUAAAAGAGAAAAGGUAUACUAAGUUUGUAACCUCACGCUUCGGACACAAGCAACCCGAACUUCAAGUCUUUUUCAGGAAUUUCCAAUCCGCCACGCAAAACACACUCACUUUCGUCAUUUUCUGACUUGAACUAACCAAAUGAAUGUAACCUCUUAUUAAUCUACUAACAGCAUCUUCAGUUAAACACAAUCAAAU
Molecule: RNA transcript, 1677 nt
Organism: Brassica napus (rape)
Lineage: Eukaryota; Viridiplantae; Streptophyta; Magnoliopsida; Brassicales; Brassicaceae
Gene name: la protein 1-like
Exons: 8
Source: RefSeq, a predicted model, not a curated record